RNAcentral lists this ribosomal RNA (217 nucleotides) under uncultured bacterium. Its description in RNAcentral is "partial 16S ribosomal RNA". It matches the Rfam family "Bacterial small subunit ribosomal RNA", at positions 1283 to 1500 of the family's 1533-position model. The record is from RNAcentral.
UAGUCUCAGUUCGGAUUGUAGGCUGAAACUCGCCUACAUGAAGUUGGAAUCGCUAGUAAUCGCGGAUCAGCAUGCCGCGGUGAAUACGUUCCCGGGCCUUGUACACACCGCCCGUCACACCAUGAGAGUCGGGAACACCCGAAGUCCGUAGCCUAACAGCAAUGGGGCGCGGCCGAAGGUGGGUUCGAUAAUUGGGGUGAAGUCGUAACAAGGUACC